This is a long non-coding RNA of Caretta caretta (loggerhead turtle), 1338 nucleotides long. RefSeq lists it as uncharacterized. Lineage: Eukaryota; Metazoa; Chordata; Testudines; Cheloniidae. The record is from RefSeq and is a predicted model, not a curated record.
GAUGAAACCUGAGAAAACAAACAAACAAAAAAAAUGCUCUUCAUUACCAGAUUUCAGAGAGAGAGAGACAUGAAUUUUAGGAAAGAACUCACUGUAAGCACCUCAUCCAACUCUUUUUGACAUUAGUGGGAGUUGGAUCAGACCAUAAAUCAGCAUAUAUUUAAAAGCUCAGGGUCCAGUCUGGUAGUCCUAACUCUAGAAAAGCUCCCGUUUUGCCUAGAUGUUGACCCAAAAUGCUGUAUAUUAUUAUUACUAAUGCAGAGAAAAAGCUCUUCAGAACCUCCAAACACGGUGGAAGGAGUGCAGUUCUGUUGUGGGGCGGAAGAGCACAAAGUCUUUAGGGCAGGCUUAAUAGCUUUAGACUAGAUUCACAAAGGUACUGAGGUGGCUAGCUGCCUCUUUAAGCAUAUAACCAAAAUUAAGGACCACUGGAAUUCUCAAAAAAACUCUGCUCUAAUGCCAACUUACCUUGCAGGCAUCUGAAUUUCCACUGGCAGGCAUGUGAAAAGCCAGCUAACACCACCAACAGCUAAUUAGCCGCAUGGAGCCCUAGUGCAAGCAGAGGACCCAGGGCCCUGAAGCAGACUUCUCAAACCAGAACAUAUGAAACCUAAAGCAGAUGAACUACAGGCCCCACAGGAGCCUACUGAAGAAUGUACAGCAAAGAUACAAAAGGUUAAAAUGAAGACACAAACUUAAAAUGCAGAAAAAGAAAGCAAUACCUUUGCCCACAUGUUGCAAUGGAUGACAACUGGUCCCUGGAGUGAAGAUAUGAAAGGAACAGCAAUGGGUAAGCUAGUAGGAAGCUUUGUCUCUAUAUAAGCAGCUCUGGGCUUCUGUACUUGUCACCCUGACCCACCCCCUUCCUUCUCUACCCAGAAAUUUCCCCCUUUCAUAACCUCCAGUCUUCCUUGACUAACUUCCUCCACACCACAAAUUGCUGAGACUCCUGGUUACAGCACUUUGUGGGGCAAGUUCAUACGUCAUGUGCAAAUUGGCAUAUGUUACGUUGUUUUAUGGCCAUAAGAGUAUAAAUUGGGGUAACUUACAUCUGGAGCCCAUGGAAGAUGUCAGUUAAUGUGUGUUGGUCUUAUCCAGAUCUCACUUCCACCAGCAUAAAUCAUGAGUAACUCAACUUGAAAGUAGUGCAGUUACAUUACUGUCAAACAUGUGAGAGGAGAAUCAGGUCCUGUGUGUGGCACAGUCAUAACUUACAUAAUCCUGUUAUGUUUUGUCCUGCUAUAUUCCUCUGUCUUUGUACCUUAUGUAACUUGAGCUUUGUGCAAUUAGAAGCUCCACCAGAAUGUUGUAUUAAAACAGCUGUGUGCAUUUAAACUA